Molecule: ribosomal RNA, 1346 nt
Filed under: uncultured bacterium
Lineage: Bacteria
Description: partial 16S ribosomal RNA
Rfam family: Bacterial small subunit ribosomal RNA
Source: RNAcentral
GACGAACGUUGGCGGCGUGCUUAACACAUGCAAGUCGAACGGAAAGGCCCUGCUUUUGUGGGGUGCUCGAGUGGCGAACGGGUGAGUAACACGUGAGUAACCUGCCCUUGACUUUGGGAUAACUUCAGGAAACUGGGGCUAAUACCGGAUAGGAGCUCCUGCUGCAUGGUGGGGGUUGGAAAGUUUCGGCGGUUGGGGAUGGACUCGCGGCUUAUCAGCUUGUUGGUGGGGUAGUGGCUUACCAAGGCUUUGACGGGUAGCCGGCCUGAGAGGGUGACCGGCCAUAUUGGGACUGAGAUACGGCCCAGACUCCUACGGGAGGCAGCAGUGGGGAAUAUUGCACAAUGGGCGGAAGCCUGAUGCAGCAACGCCGCGUGCGGGGUGACGGCCUUCGGGUUGUAAACCGCUUUCGCCUGUGACGAAGCGUGAGUGACGGUAAUGGGUAAAGAAGCACCGGCUAACUACGUGCCAGCAGCCGCGGUGAUACGUAGGGUGCGAGCGUUGUCCGGAUUUAUUGGGCGUAAAGGGCUCGUAGGUGGUUGAUCGCGUCGGAAGUGUAAUCUUGGGGCUUAACCCUGAGCGUGCUUUCGAUACGGGUUGACUUGAGGAAGGUAGGGGAGAAUGGAAUUCCUGGUGGAGCGGUGGAAUGCGCAGAUAUCAGGAGGAACACCAGUGGCGAAGGCGGUUCUCUGGGCCUUUCCUGACGCUGAGGAGCGAAAGCGUGGGGAGCGAACAGGCUUAGAUACCCUGGUAGUCCACGCUGUAAACGGUGGGUACUAGGUGUGGGGUCCAUUCCACGGGUUCCGUGCCGUAGCUAACGCUUUAAGUACCCCGCCUGGGGAGUACGGCCGCAAGGCUAAAACUCAAAGGAAUUGACGGGGCCCCGCACAAGCGGCGGAGCAUGCGGAUUAAUUCGAUGCAACGCGUAGAACCUUACCUGGGUUUGACAUGGAUCGGGAGUGCUCAGAGAUGGGUGUGCCUCUUUUGGGGUCGGUUCACAGGUGGUGCAUGGCUGUCGUCAGCUCGUGUCGUGAGAUGUUGGGUUAAGUCCCGCAACGAGCGCAACCCUUGUUCACUGUUGCCAGCACGUUAUGGUGGGGACUCAGUGGAGACCGCCGGGGUCAACUCGGAGGAAGGUGGGGAUGACGUCAAGUCAUCAUGCCCCUUAUGUCCAGGGCUUCACGCAUGCUACAAUGGCUGGUACAGAGAGUGGCGAGCCUGUGAGGGUGAGCGAAUCUCGGAAAGCCGGUCUCAGUUCGGAUUGGGGUCUGCGACUCGACCUCAUGAAGUCGGAGUCGCUAGUAAUCGCAGAUCAGCAACGCUGCGGCGAAUACGUUCCCGGGGCU